Diaporthe sp. PMI_573 is the source of this 71-nucleotide non-coding RNA. Lineage: Eukaryota; Fungi; Ascomycota; Sordariomycetes; Diaporthales; Diaporthaceae. The record is from the annotation of a GenBank genome assembly.
AGUUAUAUAGUCUAGUUGGGAGGAUCCUAGCUUUUUAGCUAGAGGCCUGGGUUUAAUUCCUAAUAUAACUC